GACGAACGCUGGCGGCGUGCUUAACACAUGCAAGUCGUACGGUAAGGCCCUUUCGGGGGUACACGAGUGGCGAACGGGUGAAUAACACGUGAGUAACCUGCCCACUACUUUGGGAUAACGCUAGGAAACUGGUGCCAAUACUGGAUAUGUGCUCCUGCUGCAUGGUGGGGGUUGGAAAGCUCCGGCGGUUGUGGAUGGACUCGCGGCCUAUCAGCUUGUUGGUGGGGUAGUGGCCUACCAAGGCGGCGGCGGGUAGCCGGCCUGAGAGGGUGACCGGCCACAUUGGGACUGAGGUACGGCCCAGACUCCGACGGGAGGCAGCAGUGGGGAAUAUUGCACAAUGGGCGCAAGCCUGAUGCAGCAACGCCGCGUGCGGGAUGACGGCCUUCGGGUUGUAAACCGCUUUCAGCAGGGACGAAGCUUUUUGUGACGGUACCUGCAGAAGAAGCACCGGCUAACUACGUG
RNAcentral lists this ribosomal RNA (465 nucleotides) under uncultured bacterium. RNAcentral's name for it is "partial 16S ribosomal RNA". It matches the Rfam family "Bacterial small subunit ribosomal RNA", at positions 28 to 507 of the family's 1533-position model. The record is from RNAcentral.